UGGGGAAUAUUGGGCAAUGGGCGCAAGCCUGACCCAGCAACGCCGCGUGAAGGAAGAAGGCUUUCGGGUUGUAAACUUCUUUUGUCAGGGACGAAACAAAUGACGGUACCUGACGAAUAAGCCACGGCUAACUACGUGCCAGCAGCCGCGGUAAUACGUAGGUGGCAAGCGUUAUCCGGAUUUACUGGGUGUAAAGGGCGUGUAGGCGGGAGUGCAAGUCAGAUGUGAAAACUAUGGGCUCAACCCAUAGCCUGCAUUUGAAACUGUACUUCUUGAGUGAUGGAGAGGCAGGCGGAAUUCCCUGUGUAGCGGUGAAAUGCGUAGAUAUAGGGAGGAACACCAGUGGCGAAGGCGGCUUACUGGACGGUAACUGACGUUGAGGCUCGAAAGUGUGGGGAGCAAACAGGAUUAGAUACCC
This 418-nucleotide ribosomal RNA is filed under the name uncultured bacterium. RNAcentral describes it as "bacterial SSU rRNA". It matches the Rfam family "Bacterial small subunit ribosomal RNA", at positions 355 to 787 of the family's 1533-position model. The record is from RNAcentral.